This 361-nucleotide transfer-messenger RNA is filed under the name Burkholderiaceae. RNAcentral describes it as "Pseudoduganella eburnea X1 Standard tmRNA". It matches the Rfam family "transfer-messenger RNA". Rfam says of the family: Bacterial tmRNA, also known as 10Sa RNA or SsrA, is named for its dual tRNA and mRNA-like properties. The record is from RNAcentral. Lineage: Bacteria; Pseudomonadati; Pseudomonadota; Betaproteobacteria; Burkholderiales.
GGGGACGACCUGGUUUCGACGUGGGUUGCAAAGCAGAACAGGGCAUACCGAGGGCUGGUUACCUCGUAAAUACACCCAGAAACAAACUAACUGCAAACGAUAACUCGUACGCACUGGCUGCUUAAUUGCGCCUGCCCGACAACACCUCGCCCUUAGGGUGUGGCCGCAAGGCCGUGUUGGGUCAUUUAUAAGGGAUCGGACUUCGAGGGUUCACUUCGAGAAGUCCUAAAUCUAAGGUGAAUCGCCUGUCCGGAACGUGCACAUCCGUGCCGUACAGGUUAAAUUAAAUGAUAGUGCUAAGUAUGUAGAACUGUCUGUAGAGUGCUUGCGGACGCGGGUUCGAUUCCCGCCGUCUCCACCA